GUUUUAGAUUUCUCCAUGCUGCAAACCACCUGAUUUAGAUUGAUGAGUAAUUAACAGGCUUCCAGGAGAUGAAGCAACUUGAACAUGGUUCUGCUGUAUAUUAUCAACCCAAUGUAUGAUGGGAAUAUGACAGGAGCUGCUCUGAAGCUGUCAAGAUCCCAACCUGUGACUCCUGGAAGAGACCCUUCAGCUAGCUGUCAGCACAGGUUAGUUUUUUGGCAACGGUCACAACGAAACCCUCUGGGACAUGAGGACAGAAAAAUUCGACCAAAUGGGGACAGACCCAAACCCUAACCCAGAUGGAUGGAUCUUGUUUUUGACCGGAAAACAAUGGCCUGUCUCCCCAUUCUUUUUGUCUAUUCAGCUGCCUGUCUGGAGCAGUGACUGGUUCUUCCUCAUUUGCUCCACUCAUAUCCAGAAGGUUGACAUCGCCGAGCAGCCUCCACCAUCUCCGCUCUCCUAGCUCUCUGCCACUGCUAGUUUUGUUGCUCAAGCUUUUUAAUUAAAACUCUGGGUCUCAGUUGA
Molecule: long non-coding RNA, 525 nt
Organism: Girardinichthys multiradiatus
Lineage: Eukaryota; Metazoa; Chordata; Actinopteri; Cyprinodontiformes; Goodeidae
Exons: 5
Source: RefSeq, a predicted model, not a curated record